RNAcentral lists this ribosomal RNA (497 nucleotides) under uncultured bacterium. Its description in RNAcentral is "partial 16S ribosomal RNA". It matches the Rfam family "Bacterial small subunit ribosomal RNA", at positions 28 to 507 of the family's 1533-position model. The record is from RNAcentral.
GAUGAACGCUGGCGGCAUGCCUAAUACAUGCAAGUCGAGCGAACAGACGAGGAGCUUGCUCCUCUGACGUUAGCGGCGGACGGGUGAGUAACACGUGGAUAACCUACCUAUAAGACUGGGAUAACUUCGGGAAACCGGAGCUAAUACCGGAUAAUAUAUUGAACCGCAUGGUUCAAUAGUGAAAGACGGUUUUGCUGUCACUUAUAGAUGGAUCCGCGCCGCAUUAGCUAGUUGGUAAGGUAACGGCUUACCAAGGCAACGAUGCAUAGCCGACCUGAGAGGGUGAUCGGCCACACUGGAACUGAGACACGGUCCAGACUCCUACGGGAGGCAGCAGUAGGGAAUCUUCCGCAAUGGGCGAAAGCCUGACGGAGCAACGCCGCGUGAGUGAUGAAGGUCUUCGGAUCGUAAAACUCUGUUAUUAGGGAAGAACAAAUGUGUAAGUAACUAUGCACGUCUUGACGGUACCUAAUCAGAAAGCCACGGCUAACUACGUG